GGGCCGGGCUGGGCCGGCCGGGGCGGGGCCCGCGACUGCUCCGGGCGGCGAUGGCGGCGGACGGGGACUGGCAGGAUUUCUAUGAGUUCCAGCAGCCGACCCGGAGCCUCCUGGACCAGGAGAACUGUAACGCGAGCCCCGAGGCCGGGGCGGGGGCGGGGGCCGGGGCCGGGCCGGGCGGGGGCGCCGACGGUUUCCCGGCCCUGGCCUGCAGCUUGGAGGAGAAGCUGAGCCUGUGCUUCCGCCCCUCGGAUCCGGGCGCCGAGCCCCCGAGGGCGGCCGUGCGGCCCAUCACGGAGCGCAGCCUCCUGCAGGGGGACGAGAUUUGGAAUGCCCUGACGGAUAAUUAUGGGAAUGUGAUGCCUGUAGACUGGAAGUCAUCGCAUACUAGGACCUUGCACUUGCUUACUCUGAACCUCUCAGAAAAAGGGGUAAGUGACAGUUUGCUCUUUGAUACGUCAGAUGAUGAAGAGCUGAGAGAACAGUUGGAUAUGCACUCAAUCAUCGUCUCCUGUGUUAGUGAUGAGCCCCUCUUCACGGCAGACCAGGUUAUUGAAGAAAUUGAAGAAAUGAUGCAGGAAUCACCGGACCCAGAAGAUGAUGAAACCCCUACACAGUCAGAUCGGCUUUCAAUGCUUUCCCAGGAAAUUCAAACUCUUAAGAGGUCUAGUACCAGCAGUUAUGAAGAGAGAGUGAAAAGGCUCUCAGUGUCUGAGUUAAAUGAAAUCCUAGAAGAAAUUGAGACUGCCAUUAAGGAGUACUCUGAGGAGCUGGUGCAGCAGUUGGCUUUACGAGAUGAACUGGAGUUUGAAAAGGAAGUGAAAAACAGCUUUAUUUCUGUUCUUAUUGAAGUGCAAAACAAACAGAAAGAGCACAAAGAAACAGCAAAAAAGAAAAAGAAGCUAAAAAAUGGCAGCUCUCAGAAUGGGAAGAAUGAGAGAAGUCAUAUGCCUGGCACACGCUUCAGCAUGGAAGGGAUCUCAAAUGUCAUUCAGAAUGGCCUCCGCCACACCUUUGGAAAUUCAGGUGGAGAGAAACAGUAUUUGACUACAGUCAUUCCUUAUGAGAAGAAAAACGGACCACCAUCUGUUGAAGAUCUUCAAAUAUUAACAAAAAUUCUUCGUGCCAUGAAGGAGGACAGUGAAAAAGUUCCGAGCUUGUUAACUGAUUAUAUUCUGAAAGAGCCCAUUGCUACAGUGUGUGAGCAGAUGAAACCCUGAUUAGUCCCAGAAUGCUACAAAGGAGAAGAGGAGGACUUUUUUUUUUUUUAGAGUAUGCUGAGCUGCUGUGGAGUGACAGAAGUCCUGCUCUUUCUCUGGGGCUGUGAGACAUUUCAGACAAACAGCCAUGCAGCCCCUCCCACAGACGACAUGGGACCUGCUAUAGGAAGCUUUCACAAUUCCACUUGAACACUGCCGGAGGCCUGGAAAGGAUACCGAAGUGAGAAGAGGAAGCUGCUUGCGGAAGAAGCAAGAUCAGUUGCUUCCCAGGGCAUAGGGUGAGACCCAAACAAACCGAAAUCAAACAUUGCUUAUUUUUGUUGUGAUAACUUUAGACCAGUUCCAAAGUUAGCGUGGUGCACGACAACCAGAAUGUUUUCAUUCUUACACUCUCUAAACAAUACACAGACAAUCAUCCUGUUUCCCCUUCUUUUAAAUCACACCUCUCAUCUUUCGUUUCAAUCUCUUUAGCACUAACUGUGACAACCUGGGCCUCCGUGUAGGGCCACGGCAACUGACGGCUCUGAAGAAUGUGCAAGAGGUAUACGUCUCCUCCCUAUGAGGGUGUGCCCUGAUGAUCAAUGCCAUGUACUCUGUUCCCAGGAAUCACAGUGGAUCAUGCACAAGUCCCUUACAAGUUGUCUCCAGCAGGCUGUAGAAGAGCGGAAGCUGCACCCAACUACCUAUUAACCCACCUAGGAACGGAAAAUGUUUUAUGCUGAAUCUUUACAUCUAAACUGACUGCAUAAUAAAGAUCCUGGUUUUGCUAGCUGGUGUGACACCAGCUCCUGUCUCCUUGUCUCCUUCCCUGCAAAGCCUUCUGAUCUACCUGUUGCCAUCUUUUGACUUUUCACAGCCUCCCCUGAACCUGAAAUUAGUAUCUUAAUCAAGAAAGAGCUUAUGAAAGAACAACAAAAGGUAAAAAUCUGGGCUGAGGUCAGAUAUCUAUUGGGUAGCUAUCUAUUCGGUUAAAACCUUACUGAAACUGCCAGUUUUGCAGGUCGAAAUGGUCAAACAGCAUUUCCUUAUGUUCAAGAUAAUACAACUCACAUCAGUUAUCUUUUAACAGGUAUGUUUACAUUCACUCAGGUAACAAAAGGGGAUCCCAUCAUGACCCAUAUUUGCCCAGGAAGUCUGUUACAUCUAUAAAUGAUAUGAAUCCCAUGUAGUUUAAAAAAAUUCUUCAGUAAGAUUAUUCUAGAUGCUCUGGUUAACACACACUGCAGGAGGUAUUCUUCCCUUUCACCGAUGGGAACAGGAGUUACACAGCUUAGUCAAGUGACCUGAUUUUAAAUAGGGUUUCCUGUUCUCUGUGUUUUCCACUAGAAGAGACUAGAUUUUCCUCUACUGAGUCAUGAAGAGGAAAUGCUAAACUACAGAAGAACUGAUGCAUGCAAUCUGUACCGUCCUCACCACGUUCUUUCUCUUCAUUUUAAUACUUUUUGUCCUCCCUAAUCUUUCCCCUACCCUUUAUCCCCAUCUCUGGAGAAGGAGCAAGCGAAGGAAAGGAGAACACAAAAGGGGCAGAGGAAACAGACUACCAUGACAAACGCUGCAGUGAGCCGAUUUCAACACUUCCCCUCAUUUCUGAAGCCCUCUCCCCAAUUUCCAGUUCUAGUCCAAUCUCCCCCUGCCCAAGUCUCCAUCUCUCCCAAAUCAUGCCACAUCCAUCCUAAGGCUCAGUUCCCGAACUUCUGCAGUCAAAAUUUAUCUUCCAUUACUCCUCAUUUUAUGUAUCACUUUCUCAGCCUAGUAUUCAACACUCUGAAGUCCAUAUACCCCUUUUCCAAUUCUGUUUCCCAGUAUUUCCCUUCAUUUUCCAGUGCUACGGUUAUGCUCUUUUCUCCAAGUCAGUCCCCACUUUGCUGUCUCUGCACUGCCUGCCCUAAUGGCCCCUGCACAUUCCUCAUCCAGCCCUUACGCUCAGUUGUCUUUCUAGGCCAAUCUCAGAUAAUAGCUUCCUCUCUGAACUCUCAAACACCACACUUUUCUUACAGCACCCUCUUUCUCUAUUUUGUGGUAACGUGAGGACUCAUUUUAACAUAAGCUCUUUUAGUACCUACCAUGCUUAGUCAUAUAAAUGUUUCUUACGUGGAAGUGAACUGGAGAUUAACAAGACAGGAAUAACAUUAACACAACAGAACAAAAACACAAAAGAAAGUGAGGAGAGCACUGAGACUUCUAUACUGUGAACUCAUAAAGGCCACCUCAGGCAGACCUAUUUGCACGACACCUUGAGUAGAAGUGCUAAGGGUUUUAAAAAAUGAAACAAAAUAGCUUUAUUGAGAUAUAAUUCACUUACCAUAACAUUCACCCUUUUAAAGUACACAAUUCAGUGGUUUUAUAUUCAGAGGGUUGUACAAUCAUCACCAGUACCUAAUUUCAGAACAUUUUCAUCCCCUCAAAAAGAAAUCCUGUACUCACUGGCAGUCACUCCCUUUCCCCCAGUCCCCGGCCCUUAGCAAUCACUAAUUUAUGUUCUGUCUCUAUAGACUUGCCAAUUCUGGGCAGUUCAUAUAAAUGGAAUCAUACAGUAUGUGGGCUAAGGGCUUUUUAACUUCAAAGAAGAUGCAACCUGUAUCUGCAAGUAACCAGAAAAAUAAACUCUCAAUGUAAUCCUCAGAGUUAAUAUAAUGAUCAAUCGAGGUACCACAUUAAUAAAUUUUUGCAUAAUGUAAUCACAGCUGCAGCCAGGUGGGACUUGGUUAAGCUGUUUUUUUUUUUUUUUUUCUCAAGUAGGAAAUGGAUUCAAGCUCAGUGGGCACCUGAGUGCCUGAGUACAAUGGAACUCAGAAAUCAUGGAAACCCCUAGAGGGCACUCACCCCCUUAGGAGGUUCUGCUGGCUGAAGGGUGGUGAGUACACACUUAUGCUUUCCCUUCAUGUCCUGUGCUUCCUGGACUUCACAGACAAUCCCAGGCAGGCCAGAAGGUCAGAGUCCAAGCUCCUGGGCAUAGCUUGCAAGGUGCUCCUAAAUCUGCCUCUACCUGUUAUUAGUUUCCACACUCUACUGGUUCCUGCACACACCCUACACUCCAGCAACAACGAUGAUCUCACGCCACUGAACCACCUGUCCCCACCCCUUAUCACUCCAGCCACAGCUCACGUCCAAGCAGCCUCAAAUCUCUGCCUCUCCCUUGCCCCUGGUGAAUUGCCCACAACCUUAAGACCACCCACUCUAUAAGACCUUCUCUGGUCAAAAAACAAACAGGAUUAAAUUUCCCUCCUCUGACUUUCAACAGUACAUAAGAGUACCUAACUCUUGAAGUGCACCGACCCAUCAUACUAAAUCAAAAUCAGACUGUUUCUCCUGUGAAUUCCUCUAGUGCAGGGGGCAUGUCUUACUUGUUUUAUAAACAAUAGUAAAAAAAUGAUAAAGGUACCCAACCGAUAACCUGAAAUAUACUUUUUCAUGGAUACAAGUCAGAGGUUAGAGCAUGUAUUGUUUUAUGUUUUUUAUUUUUAUACAUUUUAGACUGCAAGCUUGUAGGUAUGGUGCUUUUCAAAAUUAGUAUGUGGAAGGAAGGACUAUGGAAUGUGCUUAAAAUGCAGAUUCCAGGGUACCCACUCAAACACUGUUUUUCUGCAAGUUUGGGGAGCGGCUCCAGAAUCUGCCCAUAUGAUAAUCUGCUCUCCAGGAGAUUCUGCUGAUGGGAAUCUGCAAUCCACUUUCCAAGAACUUUGUGCCUAGAUGUGCACAGCCUGGGUGGUCACAGUUUAAUUUGUACUUUCCAGUGGAAAAAAAAAAACCAAAACCAAGUACAACUAGUUUUAGCAUUAUAAUGAGAAGAAUGAUUACUAGUACUUGUUUUUGAUCACUUACAAAGACUCCUUCCUGCCUGCAUACCAUUGCUUAAAAGUGAGAGAUACUACCUACGAGGGAAGAAAAGAACAGAAAUAUUACCAAUUUAUCCAGUACUGUCACCCAAAGAAGAAAAAUGUGCGACUGCUAGCAAGCUACUUAAACUCUUGGGGACUGUUUUCUCAUCCAUAAAGUGAGAUAGCUGGAUCAUAAUAAACUUUUUUCUAAAUAUAAAAUCCUUUGAUUCUAUCAUUGCCAUUCCCAUUCCUGUCACUGCUGCAAUCUGACCUCAGUUCAUCCUCUUCUCACUCCCUGUCCUUCGGGAACAUCAGUCACCUCGCAUCCCUUACUCACCUGAUCCUCCUCCUCUCCAAGCACCUCAACCUUCAGGCCCAGCUCAAGAUAGGGUUUUUGCACUGGUGAUGUUUUGGUUUUCGUGGGGCCAUAAUAAUUAUGUAGCUUUUCUUUUUUUCCCUACUAAAGAACUCUAAGCAAGGCUGGAAAAGAAACAACAUGACAGAUGCUGUUGUCUCCCUACCACUAGGCAUGUUUCAGACCCUACAUAACUAAGUGGAAGGGUCAACAGUUUGUUUUACUACAGUGACCACAGAAACCUUAAAGGAGGAUAACCUAUAGGAGAUCCUGGAGGAGGCCAUAGGGGUAGGAGUCCUGUUUGUCCCUCCCACAGCCCUUUCAGCAAAGAACAGGAGUGCCCCUCAACCUCCGCCCCGUCCUGUCCCCCCAGAGGUAUCCUCCUGGUGUAGGUGCUGAUGUUAUCCUAACACUCCCCACAGUAAGCUCCUUCUGCAGAGAAGGCAGCUCGGAAGCAGCAAGUCAUCACACUCCUCACCCUCCCCAGCAGACCCUGAUCUUCCUCCGCCCAUAUCCUAGAGGAAAACAAGUCAGUGAGGUAUUCUGGAAAAGAUUUCUUCCAAUACUGGAUGUACUACACACUGGAACUGAGUGCUUGAGGCCUUCAAAAGUGGAGGCAUCACUGACUAUAAAUUAAAAACUACUAUUUACAGGUGGGUGGGAGGUCUCCCUUUAGUUAGGAAACAAGGAUAAAUGAGGAAUGAAAAGGGCAAAGCACUUGUGUUACUAGGAUUCUACACAGUGUAUUAAUGAUAUAGCUUGUUGGGAAUGGAAAUUAUAAUGACACAUAAAACACAGUACUAUUCUAUAAAAAGCAGUUUCAACUUUAAUUAAAUUCGAUGUACCAUCUUUCUUCUGAUUAAAUUUUUUACCUCUUUCCAAGAAUAUGUGUGUGUGUGUGUGUGUGUGUGUGUGUUUUAAAGGCUGCAAACAAAAUAUCCAAAAAGAAACAGGUUUCCUAACUGAGGGUCCAACUCUUAUGGAAAACAGCACUCCUCUCUAAGAAAGUUCCUUAGGCUCACGGUUUUCCUCAUGCUUCACCGUAAGAGAUUUACUACUCUCUGUGUAUGAAUAACUAACUAACCCUCCUUCCCUCUUUCUCCCCGUCUCAAGUCUAUUCCUGCGUGAUUUCCUGGCAUUUCCACUCCCCCAGCACUGACAAAUGUGCUGUAGCCACAGCAAGUGCAGCCCUGCUCUGGGGAUCAUACUCUCACCCCGCAGCAAUCCCUCCCCUGUGUACAGUGAGCUGUCACUUGUCAACCAGAAACUGCACCUUCUUCACCACUUUCCCUUUGGAAACCACCAGAAAAUCACUCUGCCUUUUGUUGUGGUGGUGGUGGUUGUUUUAUGCUUUGUUUUUCUUUUGGGGGGAGGAAUCAAAGGUCAUGCUCCCAUGUAGGGAAGGUAAAGACAAUUAGGUUUGGGUUCAGUGUAUACUGUUCUGGUGAUGGGUGCCCCCAGAUCUCACAAAUCACCGCUAAAUAACUCACUCAUGUAACCAAAUACCACCUGUUUCCCAAAAACCUAUGGAAAUAAA
RNA transcript from Cercocebus atys (sooty mangabey), 6930 nucleotides. It is a transcript of the gene named fasciculation and elongation protein zeta 2 (zygin II), with no coding region annotated. NCBI's taxonomy places the organism in Eukaryota, Metazoa, Chordata, Mammalia, Primates, Cercopithecidae. The record is from RefSeq and is a predicted model, not a curated record. The transcript is spliced from 11 exons.